GGGCGUUCCAGGCGUGUAAUGCUGAGAGCGCUCGCUCAAACGCCGUGAAAUUCUCGGUGUAACACCUGCUCGAUAACAGCACAUCAAAAGCUUUUAGGAAGCAUUAAUUGGCCACGGCCGCUGGAGCUGGCCAGAGCAGAGGGAGGAGAUCCGAGGUGUCUUGUGGCUGCUGUAAGCUCCUCGAGACCGCUGGGGAAAAUGAGCCUGGGAGCUGAAUUUGGGCAGAAAAUACCCGCGAGGCGAGGAGCAGGCUGGUGCGCUGGUGCGUUGCUGCCCAGGCCCAAAUUGUUUCAAGAUGGAGCUUGAUAAGCCAGUGGAGAGGCCUGCAGAGCGGCGUGGGACACGGGCUCCACAUCACCCGCUCCAGGAUGCCUGGUAGGAAAGGGACCCCUGUUUGCCUGAACUUUCCCCUUUCCUCUUAUGGGCCCAGGCCUCUCCUGGUCCUGAGAUGGACCAUGAGGGAUCUGGGGCUUGUACUGUUGAAAUACAUCUGAAUUUUGGGGCUGGUUUUCACCUGGAUGAGGUAUAGUGAGUGCUGGAGCUCUGUGAGUGCCACACGACAACUCGAGUCCUUCUAAACUUUUCAACAAACCCCCUGGGGCUGUGAGGUUUGGAGUUAUUGCUGGUACUUUUCUCCUCAUCUGCUCUUUUCCUGCAGCCUGCAAGUGCUGUGGCCUUUCUCUACUGGUCUGAGUGUGCUGGAGAUGUUUUUGGUGUGUGAGCCAUGGACCCCCAGCCUCAGUUGCUAUUGCCUGGCUGCAGUAGCUGCAGGGCUGGGUCAACAGCUGCCCUGAACCCUCCAGUCCUACCCUUCAGUGGCAUUUUUUGAGAUUUCUAUUGAAGAAACUGUUUCUUAAGCAAGUGCUAGAUCCAAAUUGGCAUCUUUUUUGUGUGUGUGAACCCAUUAAACCAUUGUCAGGGAGAAAGAAGUGUUGGUGCCUUGCAGCCAUCAAAGCACCAGAGGGGAGGGAGGGCCCUUUUCCACCACCCCUCUGAGCUGCUCCA
RNAcentral lists this long non-coding RNA (1005 nucleotides) under Anas platyrhynchos platyrhynchos (common mallard). RNAcentral's name for it is "lncRNA (ENSAPLG00000022177.1)". Lineage: Eukaryota; Metazoa; Chordata; Aves; Anseriformes; Anatidae. The record is from RNAcentral.